UCCUACGGGGGGCAGCAGUGAGGAAUAUUGGUCAAUGGGCGGAAGCCUGAACCAGCCAAGUCGCGUGAGGGAAGAAGGCCCUGCGGGUCGCAGACCUCUUUGGACGGGGAGCAAGGCCGCCGACGUGUCGGCGGAAGGAGAGUACCCGUAGAACAAGCAUCGGCUAACUCCGUGCCAGCAGCCGCGGUAAUACGUAGGUGGCAAGCGUUAUCCGGAUUUAUUGGGCGUAAAGGGAACGCAGGCGGUCUUUUAAGUCUGAUGUGAAAGCCUUCGGCUUAACCGGAGUAGUGCAUUGGAAACUGGGG
Molecule: ribosomal RNA, 305 nt
Filed under: uncultured bacterium
Lineage: Bacteria
Description: bacterial SSU rRNA
Rfam family: Bacterial small subunit ribosomal RNA
Source: RNAcentral